AUUGAACGCUGGCGGCAUGCCUUACACAUGCAAGUCGAGCGCGAAAGGGGGCAACCCCGAGUAGAGCGGCGGACGGGUGAGUAACACAUCGGAACGUGCCCAGUAGUGGGGGACAACCUCGAGAAAUCGAGGCUAAUACCGCAUACGACCCACGGGUGAAAGCGGGGGACCGCAAGGCCUCGCGCUAUUGGAGCGGCCGAUGUCCGAUUAGCUAGUUGGCGGGGUAAGAGCCCACCAAGGCGACGAUCGGUAGCUGGUCUGAGAGGACGACCAGCCACACUGGGACUGAGACACGGCCCAGACUCCUACGGGAGGCAGCAGUGGGGAAUUUGGACAAUGGGGGCAACCCUGAUCCAGCCAUGCCGCGUGCGGGAAGAAGGCCU
Molecule: ribosomal RNA, 383 nt
Filed under: uncultured bacterium
Lineage: Bacteria
Description: bacterial SSU rRNA
Rfam family: Bacterial small subunit ribosomal RNA
Source: RNAcentral